GCUGGCGGCAGGACCUAACACAUGCAAGUCGAGCGCCGUAUCCAUACGGAGCGGCAGACGGGAGAGUAACACGUGGGAACGUGCCCUUCAGUUCGGAACAACCCAGGGNAAACUUGGGCUAAUACCGGAUACGUCCGUAAGGAGAAAGAUUUAUCGCUGAAGGAUCGGCCCGCGUCUGAUUAGCUAGUUGGUGGGGUAAUGGCCCACCAAGGCGACGAUCAAUAGCUGGUCUGAGAGGAUGAUCAGCCUCACUGGGACUGAGACACGGCCCAGACUCCUACGGGAGGCAGCAGUGGGGAAUAUUGGACAAUGGGCGCAAGCCUGAUCCAGCCAUGCCGCGUGGGUGAUGAAGGCCCUAGGGUUGUAAAGCCCUUUCGGCGGGGAAGAUAAUGACGGUACCCGCAGAAGAAGCCCCGGCUAACUUCGUGCCAGCAGCCGCGGUAAUACGAAGGGGGCUAGCGUUGCUCGGAAUCACUGGGCGUAAAGCGCACGUAGGCGGCUUUUUAAGUCAGGGGUGAAAUCCUGGAGCUCAACUCCAGAACUGCCCUUGAUACUGAGAAGCUUGAGUCCGGGAGAGGUGAGUGGAACUGCGAGUGUAGAGGUGAAAUUCGUAGAUAUUCGCAAGAACACCAGUGGCGAAGGCGGCUCACUGGCCCGGUACUGACGCUG
RNAcentral lists this ribosomal RNA (669 nucleotides) under uncultured bacterium. RNAcentral describes it as "bacterial SSU rRNA". It matches the Rfam family "Bacterial small subunit ribosomal RNA", at positions 35 to 748 of the family's 1533-position model. The record is from RNAcentral.